UGGGGAAUUUUGGACAAUGGGCGCAAGCCUGAUCCAGCCAUGCCGCGUGCAGGAUGAAGGCCUUCGGGUUGUAAACUGCUUUUGUACGGAGCGAAAAGGUCUGCCCUAAUACGGUGGGCUCAUGACGGUACCGUAAGAAUAAGCACCGGCUAACUACGUGCCAGCAGCCGCGGUAAUACGUAGGGUGCGAGCGUUAAUCGGAAUUACUGGGCGUAAAGCGCGCGUAGGUGGUUUGUUAAGUUGGAUGUGAAAGCCCCGGGCUCAACCUGGGAACUGCAUCCAAAACUGGCAAGCUAGAGUAUGGUAGAGGGGGAUGGAACUCCGCGUGUAGCAGUGAAAUGCGUAGAUAUGCGGAGGAACACCGAUGGCGAAGGCAAUCCCCUGGACCUGUACUGACGCUCAUGCACGAAAGCGUGGGGAGCAAACA
This 427-nucleotide ribosomal RNA is filed under the name uncultured bacterium. Its description in RNAcentral is "bacterial SSU rRNA". It matches the Rfam family "Bacterial small subunit ribosomal RNA", at positions 355 to 774 of the family's 1533-position model. The record is from RNAcentral.